This 442-nucleotide ribosomal RNA is filed under the name uncultured bacterium. Its description in RNAcentral is "bacterial SSU rRNA". It matches the Rfam family "Bacterial small subunit ribosomal RNA", at positions 29 to 524 of the family's 1533-position model. The record is from RNAcentral.
AGCGAACGCUGGCGGCAGGCCUAACACAUGCAAGUCGAGCGCCCCGCAAGGGGAGCGGCAGACGGGUGAGUAACGCGUGGGAACGUGCCCUUCAGUCCGGAAUAACCCAGGGAAACUUGGGCUAAUACCGGAUACGUCCGAGAGGAGAAAGAUUUAUCGCUGAAGGAUCGGCCCGCGUAAGAUUAGCUAGUUGGUGAGGUAACGGCUCACCAAGGCUAUGAUCUUUAGCUGUUCNGAGAGGAAGAUCAGCCACACUGGGACUGAGACACGGCCCAGACUCCUACGGGAGGCAGCAGUGGGGAAUAUUGGACAAUGGGCGCAAGCCUGAUCCAGCCAUGCCGCGUGAGUGAUGAAGGCUUAGGGUUGUAAGCUCUUUACAGGAAGAUAAUGACGGUACCUGGAGAAUAAGCCCCGCUAACUUCGUGCCAGCCGCCGCAGUAAG